CCUACGGGGCGCAGCAGUGAGGAAUAUUGGUCAAUGGCCGAGAGGCUGAACCAGCCAAGUCGCGUGAGGGAAGACGGCCCUACGGGUUGUAAACCUCUUUUGUCGGGGAGCAAAGAGAGUCACGUGUGACUCGUUGAGAGUACCCGAAGAAAAAGCAUCGGCUAACUCCGUUCCCGCAGCCGCGGUAAUACGGGGGAUGCGAGCGUUAUCCGGAUUUAUUGGGGUUAAAGGGUGCGUAGGCGGAGGUACAAGUCAGCGGUCAAAUUGCGGGGCUCAACCCCGUACUGCCGUUGAAACUGCAUCCCUUGAGUGCGCGAGAGGUAUGCGGAAUGCGUGGUGUAGCGGGGAAAUGCAUA
This 356-nucleotide ribosomal RNA is filed under the name uncultured bacterium. RNAcentral describes it as "partial 16S ribosomal RNA". It matches the Rfam family "Bacterial small subunit ribosomal RNA", at positions 338 to 692 of the family's 1533-position model. The record is from RNAcentral.